CUGUGAACGGUUCCGUUCCGACUUUGGAUUCUUUCCGGUUUCCGAGGUCUUCCUGUUCAUCGGUCACUUCAUCAGGCGAAACCAUGAGGAGAGGGUGUCCGAGAUUUCAGUUCCACGACGUAGCUGACCUAUCAAGAAAAUCAUCAACCAUGAGGGGAAUUAGCUGCACGUUUCGGAAGACUGGGAAAAAUGAACGAAUUCGUAGGGCUGUACAUUUACAACCAAAAAGAAAAAUGAUGACUUAAUACAGGAGGAGAAUUCAACAGAUGGAAGAAAAACUUGCCCCCUUGUGCAAAUGUUUGAAACAUCAAGGUUAACUACAAUCCUGGAUCAGUAACUACAAAAAUGGUUGUUUUCAGCCUAUAGUGGAUUAUCAUGGAUCCAAUUGGAACUGGCGCUGGUAAUGGCAGCACACACGAGGUGAAGUUGAGAACCAUUUAAAUGCAGUUGGAACGGAGUGGCAUUGUCAUCAUUUAUAAUAAUGAGGACUACCUCAAGCUGCUUAGAGUUACAGUAUUUUCGAAAUGGAGGAUCAUUUAACCUGAUAGACAAGACCCCCAGAUAAAGCUUGUCCCAACGAGAGACAAUUCUUUCGAGUGCGUCUUGAUUUGCAGUUUUUGAGGUAAUUAACAAAAACUCAACUGUCUGAUCAGACUGUCCCCGGACAUACGGAUUGUGUAAUCAAUUGUAAUGUAUUACUUUACGAAUUAAAAAAAAAUAUGUACAUGUA
Neodiprion virginianus is the source of this 730-nucleotide long non-coding RNA. RefSeq lists it as uncharacterized. The record is from RefSeq and is a predicted model, not a curated record. The transcript has 12 exons. Lineage: Eukaryota; Metazoa; Arthropoda; Insecta; Hymenoptera; Diprionidae.